UACGUAGGGUGCAAGCGUUGUCCGGAAUUAUUGGGCGUAAAGAGCUCGUAGGCGGUUCGUCGCGUCGGCUGUGAAAUCCCGAGGCUCAACCUCGGGUCUGCAGUCGAUACGGGCGGACUGGAGUACUGCAGGGGAGACUGGAAUUCCUGGUGUAGCGGUGAAAUGCGCAGAUAUCAGGAGGAACACCGGUGGCGAAGGCGGGUCUCUGGGCAGUUACUGACGCUGAGGGGCGAAAGCGUGGGGAGCGAACAGG
Molecule: ribosomal RNA, 253 nt
Filed under: uncultured bacterium
Lineage: Bacteria
Description: partial 16S ribosomal RNA
Rfam family: Bacterial small subunit ribosomal RNA
Source: RNAcentral